UCCUCACUUGCCAUUCCUGCUCCUUUAGGCGGCAUGACUGUUUAGAGCUAGCGCGAUGUAGCAGCCCCCUUCAGUCGGCCUCCGUGCAGAGCGUUCUGAGCGAGCGCGUAGUUGAAACGGUGUUACAAGCUCGCACUUAAUCGCCGAUCUCCGAUCGUCUUUCCCUAUACGAAAACAGCUUUACCCGAUCAUCUAUCCAACCUCCAACCGAAUUCCUUAAUCAAAUCCAGCAGUUUAUUCCUUAAAAAAAUAUCGGCAGCGAUCCGGCCGUGCCAAACAGGAAAACAGCGUGACAGGAAAUGACGUUCCUGUAGUCAGUCAUAAUGUUGAGGAGAUGAAGAAGAAGAAAGUAGAUUGGAAGAAAGUUACUGACAUGAUGGCCAGCACAUUCUCUCUACGACGAAAAGAAAUAGUCGAAGAACAACCACUUGUGGCAGAGGUGAAAGCCAAAUGGCCAGCUUUGUUCACUGAUCGACAGAUUGAAGCUGAAUUCACUCGACUUACGUCCAUUGGCUUGUGGGAUUCGUUCGUUUCUGGGCUGGACCAGCAUUUGGCUAGAUUCUUGCAGAUGUACAGGGCCAAGAGUCACUGCAUUUCAGAGCCUCCUGACUAUGCUUGAUUAUGAUAAUUCACUCCAAAAUAAAAGGUCAGUCACGCUUAGAGGCCUUCCACACUUUCUCAGAGAGGAUCCAUCCAAGUUUUUAAAGACUGCUGAGGCGGUGGACCACCGGGAAAGCCUCUUAGCGCAGUUUGUGAAGUGGUACAGCGUAUCCUCGGGGAAGACAGUGCAGUGAUUUGUGGUGUGGACGGGGGUCAGGAUCCUGCAUUAUUGAAAUUUGAAAACCUAUC
Long non-coding RNA from Trichomycterus rosablanca, 849 nucleotides. RefSeq lists it as uncharacterized. Lineage: Eukaryota; Metazoa; Chordata; Actinopteri; Siluriformes; Trichomycteridae. The record is from RefSeq and is a predicted model, not a curated record. The transcript is spliced from 4 exons.